AACGAGCGCUGGCGGCAGGCCUAACACAUGCAAGUCGAGCGGACCUUUCGGGGUCAGCGGCGGACGGGUGAGUAACGCGUGGGAAUAUGCCCUUCUCUACGGAAUAGUCCUGGGAAACUGGGGGUAAUACCGUAUACGCCCUUUGGGGGAAAGAUUUAUCGGGGAAGGAUUAGCCCGCGUUGGAUUAGGUAGUUGGUGGGGUAAUGGCCUACCAAGCCGACGAUCCAUAGCUGGUUUGAGAGGAUGAUCAGCCACACUGGGACUGAGACACGGCCCAGACUCCUACGGGAGGCAGCAGUGGGGAAUCUUAGACAAUGGGGGCAACCCUGAUCUAGCCAUGCCGCGUGAGUGAUGAAGGCCUUAGGGUUGUAAAGCUCUUUCAGCUGGGAAGAUAAUGACGGUACCAGCAGAAGAAGCCCCGGCUAACUCCGUG
This 433-nucleotide ribosomal RNA is filed under the name uncultured bacterium. RNAcentral's name for it is "partial 16S ribosomal RNA". It matches the Rfam family "Bacterial small subunit ribosomal RNA", at positions 29 to 507 of the family's 1533-position model. The record is from RNAcentral.